CCAAGGAGUCUAACAUGUGCGCGAGUCGUAGGGUGCGUAAGCAAAACCCGAAGGCUUAAUGAGAGUAGAGGUCGGCAAUUUGUUCGUCGACCGAGGCGGGAUCCGUCUUUGUUUUUUCUUCUUUUUAUUAAUUCAUUUUUUUAAAAAGAGAAAAAUUACCCUCCUUUUUAUUUAAAAUUUUCUUUUUUCUCCUCUUUCGAAAGGGAGAGGGAAAGAGAGGUUUGGAGGGAGGGGAAAGAACGGCGCACCGCCGGCCCGUCUCGACCGCAACGCCGGUGAGGCGGCGCAAUAGCGCACACGUUGGGACCCGAAAGAUGGUGAACUAUGCCUAGGCAGGACGAAGCCAGAGGAAACUCUGGUGGAGGUCCGUAGCGUUUCUGACGUGCAAAUCGAUCGUCGGACCUGGGUAUAGGGGCGAAAGACUAAUCGAACCAUCUA
Molecule: ribosomal RNA, 438 nt
Filed under: Scutigerina weberi
Lineage: Eukaryota; Metazoa; Arthropoda; Chilopoda; Scutigeromorpha; Scutigerinidae
Description: partial 28S ribosomal RNA
Rfam family: Eukaryotic large subunit ribosomal RNA
Source: RNAcentral